This is a long non-coding RNA of Haliotis rubra (blacklip abalone), 217 nucleotides long. RefSeq lists it as uncharacterized. NCBI's taxonomy places the organism in Eukaryota, Metazoa, Mollusca, Gastropoda, Lepetellida, Haliotidae. The record is from RefSeq and is a predicted model, not a curated record. The transcript is spliced from 3 exons.
CGCCUAUGCAUUAAUGGACUUAUAAACAUCAGAGAAAUAGAGUAAACAACAUGAAAUGUUAUGCGAAAGAAAACUUCUACUCUAAUAUUAAUGGCCUACUUUUGGAAUUAUACUCUGAAAAUAAAUCUUCAUAUUGGAAAUUAUUACGUUAUAUUGUUAAAAACUCGGGCUCUAAUUCGCAUAUUCCUCCUCUCAAGCAGAAUGUUGAUGAUGAAUU